GUAGGUGGCAAGCGUUGUCCGGAAUUAUUGGGCGUAAAUCGCGCGCAGGCGGUUUUUUAAGUCUGAUGUGAAAGCCCACGGCUCAACCGUGGAGGGUCAUUGGAAACUGGAGAACUUGAGUACAGAAGAGGAAAGCGGAAUUCCACGUGUAGCGGUGAAAUGCGUAGAGAUGUGGAGGAACACCAGUGGCGAAGGCGGCUUUCUGGUCUGUAACUGACGCUGAGGCGCGAAAGCGUGGGGAGCAAACAGGGAUUAGAUACCCUGGUAGUCCACGCCGUAAACGAUGAGUGCUAAGUGUUAGGGGGUUUCCCGCCCCUUAGUGCUGCAGCUAACGCAUUAAGCACUCCGCCUGGGGAGUACGGCCGCAAGGCUA
Molecule: ribosomal RNA, 373 nt
Filed under: uncultured organism
Description: partial 16S ribosomal RNA
Rfam family: Bacterial small subunit ribosomal RNA
Source: RNAcentral